Molecule: non-coding RNA, 203 nt
Filed under: Fragilariopsis kerguelensis
Lineage: Eukaryota; Bacillariophyta; Bacillariophyceae; Bacillariales; Bacillariaceae
Source: RNAcentral
AAACACAAACACAAACACAAAGAAGGAGAAAGAAAAGAAGAAGUAAAAAGGUGAAAGAGGUGAGACGACUAUUGUUGUAUGAAAAUGGUCAUAUGGUGCUGAUGUUAUUUAGGUGAUCUCUAACUAUAUUGCCAUCGUCCUCCUCGUCCUUCUCAUUGAUAUACAAAUGUGUGUGACGACAAAGGUGACAAAUAAAAGUCGAG